This 433-nucleotide ribosomal RNA is filed under the name uncultured bacterium. RNAcentral's name for it is "partial 16S ribosomal RNA". It matches the Rfam family "Bacterial small subunit ribosomal RNA", at positions 29 to 507 of the family's 1533-position model. The record is from RNAcentral.
AGCGAACGCUGGCGGCAGGCUUAACACAUGCAAGUCGAGCGGGCACUUCGGUGUCAGCGGCAGACGGGUGAGUAACACGUGGGAACGUACCCUUCGGCUCGGAAUAACGCUGGGAAACUAGCGCUAAUACCGGAUACGCCCUUUUGGGGAAAGGUUUACUGCCGAAGGAUCGGCCCGCGUCUGAUUAGCUAGUUGGUGGGGUAAUGGCCUACCAAGGCGACGAUCAGUAGCUGGUCUGAGAGGAUGAUCAGCCACACUGGGACUGAGACACGGCCCAGACUCCUACGGGAGGCAGCAGUGGGGAAUAUUGGACAAUGGGCGCAAGCCUGAUCCAGCCAUGCCGCGUGAGUGAUGAAGGCCUUAGGGUUGUAAAGCUCUUUUGUCCGGGACGAUAAUGACGGUACCGGAAGAAUAAGCCCCGGCUAACUUCGUG